Molecule: long non-coding RNA, 576 nt
Organism: Oreochromis niloticus (Nile tilapia)
Lineage: Eukaryota; Metazoa; Chordata; Actinopteri; Cichliformes; Cichlidae
Exons: 4
Source: RefSeq, a predicted model, not a curated record
UGGCAACAGAUUACAUAUUGGAAAAGUAAAGUUAAGGAAAAACACAAAAAAACAAAAAAAAAGAAAGAACCUUGUUCAAGAUUUUUUGAGGAUGAAGCGUAAUGAUAGUGAUUUAAAAUUUCACUUUUAGACUGUUUUUGGUAAAAUCCUUAACAUGGACAUGCACCUGAUUUCACCACAUAGACAGACAACGCGUCCUGACAGACAGUCUCCUCUUAACACACUACUUCACCCAGAAGCUGCUGACAGGCAGGCGCAUAGCCCUUCCCCUCAUGAGUAGUUGAAGAGUUGACAUUACCAACACUGAACAAUACUUUGUGAAGAACUUUGAGAGCUGAUUUUCCGACUACUAUUGGAGGCUGGGCCACAGCUUCUCAUCGCUGGAUGAUUGUGCUACUGACUUUACCUUCUCGGACCUGUACCUCCCAGCUGUACGAACGUGUGUGAGUUGGAUGUGAGGACGGGAGCGAGCGUGAGAGAGAGAGCCUUCCCCUAAGCCCUUGGAACCCUGGAUUUUUCCCCGUCACUGUAUAUAUUAUCGCACUGGUGUGUAAAUAAACGGUGUUCUGAGACGUC